AUGAACGCUGGCGGCGUGCCUAAUACAUGCAAGUCGAGCGAACGGACGAGAAGCUUGCUUCUCUGAUGUUAGCGGCGGACGGGUGAGUAACACGUGGAUAACCUACCUAUAAGACUGGGGUAACUUCGGGAAACCGUAGCUAAUACCGGAUAAUAUUUUGAACCGCAUGGUUCAAAAGUGAAAGACGGUCUUGCUGUCACUUAUAGAUGGAUCCGCGCUGCAUUAGCUAGUUGGUAAGGUAACGGCUUACCAAGGCAACGAUGCAUAGCCGACCUGAGAGGGUGAUCGGCCACACUGGAACUGAGACACGGUCCAGACUCCUACGGGAGGCAGCAGUAGGGAAUCUUCCGCAAAGGGCGAAAGCCUGACGGAGCAACGCCGCGUGAGUGAUGAAGGUCUUCGGAUCGUAAAACUCUGUUAUUAGGGAAGAACAUAUGUGUAAGUAACUGUGCACAUCUUGACGGUACCUAAUCAGAAAGCCACGGCUAACUACGUG
Molecule: ribosomal RNA, 496 nt
Filed under: uncultured bacterium
Lineage: Bacteria
Description: partial 16S ribosomal RNA
Rfam family: Bacterial small subunit ribosomal RNA
Source: RNAcentral